Molecule: microRNA precursor, 94 nt
Filed under: Marmota monax (woodchuck)
Lineage: Eukaryota; Metazoa; Chordata; Mammalia; Rodentia; Sciuridae
Source: RNAcentral
AGUGGGAUAGCUGGGCCAAAUGGUGGUUUCAUUCCAAGGAAUCUCCAUAAUGCUUUCCAUAUUGGCUGCACCAGUUUGCAGUUCCAUAAGCAAU